AACAUUCUUCGCACUUGCAAACAAAUAAUAAUGAACUGUUCGCGAUUUUACACGUGAGUACUUUGUAUAAAAGCAUGAUGUAUUCACAUCUUCUUUCAAUUCACGAGAAGCUGUGACAGUUUUUGUAAAGCGAAGAAAUGGGAAAACCUUACCAAUAUGCGAGAGAUGUCACUUCAACGAAAUCAAUUCUGGUAUCGAUUGCAAAUCGCGUCCUGAGCAAAGUUGAUUUUUUUCACACAAAUGAAAAAAACGCAAAAGAAAUGUUUGCGCUUAUUCAAAAAUCACAACAACAUCGUCUCAACGAUCAAAGAUGUGAUAGCGAAGUUAUUAAAAAAGCAGACGAGAAUCGACUCUUCGAAAGGAUAAUUUUCUAUCAGUCCAAAAGAAUGGAUGACCAACGUUGCAACAUGCCGUCCAACCUCGCAAAGGAUCAGCAUUAAGAAACUUCAUGAAUGAAACCAGGAAAAAUUAGUAAGAUAUGAAAAUGUAGUAAGAUAUGAAGCCAUGAAAUUUGUCAAAAAGUUCCUGCGUCGUUUUUUGAUCCCACGAUUCAAGAUCUCAACGAGUGCCUGAAAGACAUCGAUGCCAGACGUUUGAACGUAAUAUCUGGAAAGUUAAGAGUCCAGAGAUCAAAUCGAGAGGGUUGGAAUUUCUGCAAUGCGAUCAUUGAAUGUAGACGUUACGUCACUCAAAACGAACAGAAAAGAAAGCGACGCAAAAGCACUUGAAAGUAAUGUGGAAUAAUGCAGAGUAGAAAAAUCAACGAUAAACGUGCUGAAAAUGACAGCGAAGUGCUUGUUUUUGAACGAUUUAUACAAGAGAAGUGAAAUGUAGGAAAGAAGAAAAAAUGAAUUGUAUUGAAGCGAAAUUUCCAUUGAUUGAUGAAUAAAUUAAGGGAACAAUAUCCGACCGUCUUUUGUGCCUGGUUGUGAAAUACCUGUGCAUACCGAGUAGAGAAUGUCGUUGAGUAAUGUAACAUUAAUAAAGAUACAUCUGUGUAACUGUUCGUGCCAUUUCAUAGCUAUGUUGCAUAAAGUCCGAUCAUUAAAUCAUUCUCUGUACACUAA
Molecule: long non-coding RNA, 1067 nt
Organism: Xenia sp. Carnegie-2017
Lineage: Eukaryota; Metazoa; Cnidaria; Anthozoa; Malacalcyonacea; Xeniidae
Exons: 2
Source: RefSeq, a predicted model, not a curated record